Molecule: ribosomal RNA, 458 nt
Filed under: uncultured bacterium
Lineage: Bacteria
Description: bacterial SSU rRNA
Rfam family: Bacterial small subunit ribosomal RNA
Source: RNAcentral
AUUGAACGCUGGCGGCAGGCCUAACACAUGCAAGUCGAACGGAACCUUCGGGUUUAGUGGCGAACGGGUGAGUAAUGCCUAGGAAUCUGCCUAUUAGUGGGGGAUAACGAAUCGAAAGGUUCGCUAAUACCGCAUACGUCCUACGGGAGAAAGAGGGGGAUCUUCGGACCUCUUGCUAAUAGAUGAGCCUAGGUCGGAUUAGCUAGUUGGUGAGGUAAAGGCUCACCAAGGCGACGAUCUGUAGCUGGUCUGAGAGGAUGGCCAGCCACACUGGAACUGAGACACGGUCCAGACUCCUACGGGAGGCAGCAGUGGGGAAUAUUGGACAAUGGGCGCAAGCCUGAUCCAGCCAUGCCGCGUGUGUGAAGAAGGCCCUCGGGUUGUAAAGCACUUUAAGCGAGGAGGAAGGUCAUCAUACUAAUAUUAUGAUGAAUUGACGUUACUCGCAGAAUAAGCAC